UUUCCUCAUUAUUGGACUAACUCAUACUGAGCUCUCCUCCUUCCCCAGGCUGUGACCUUGACCCACGUUCUGCUGAUGGCCAGAUGUUCCUGAGAAACCCACUAGUGCCUUCUGACUGCUGUAACACGACCGCCCACAUCACAGGACCUUGGCUUGAAGCACAGAGGUCCCAGCACUUGAAGGCCACCAUCACCUCUCUCCAUCUCCAGCCCUCCAGGCUCACACAUGCCGAUGUUUGGGUUGAUUUCAGCUUUGUCUUUCUGAUAGCUGUGCUGUGACUGUUUUGCCACCACUACGCCUCCCCGUCCUCCUCCUGUCUGACAGGCAAAAAUAAGAAGAAGAAAGAAAAAAAAAGCAGCUUAAACAUAUUUUGUGGUUAAACCACUUUUUUUUUUCAUGUCGACCGGUUCCCACUGGGCUGAAAAGCAAUAAAAAGUCAGGAAGAAGUAUGGGCUCCCCUCCC
Molecule: long non-coding RNA, 463 nt
Filed under: Coturnix japonica (Japanese quail)
Lineage: Eukaryota; Metazoa; Chordata; Aves; Galliformes; Phasianidae
Description: lncRNA (ENSCJPG00005019836.1)
Source: RNAcentral